UGCCGGGAACUGCGCGGCGGCAGGUCGGUGAACCCCGCCAGGACUGGAAGGUAGCAACGGUAAGUCGGUUCUCCGUGCGACGCAUCCUUCCCGGCUUUU
This 99-nucleotide signal recognition particle RNA is filed under the name Fimbriimonas ginsengisoli Gsoil 348. RNAcentral describes it as "Bacterial small signal recognition particle RNA". It matches the Rfam family "Bacterial small signal recognition particle RNA". From Rfam's summary of the family: The signal recognition particle (SRP) is a universally conserved ribonucleoprotein involved in the co-translational targeting of proteins to membranes. Archaeal SRP consists of a 7S RNA and homologues of the eukaryotic SRP19 and SRP54 proteins. In most bacteria, the SRP consists of a 4.5S RNA and the Ffh protein (a homologue of the eukaryotic SRP54 protein). The record is from Rfam by way of RNAcentral. Lineage: Bacteria; Bacillati; Armatimonadota; Fimbriimonadia; Fimbriimonadales; Fimbriimonadaceae.